RNAcentral lists this ribosomal RNA (468 nucleotides) under uncultured bacterium. RNAcentral's name for it is "partial 16S ribosomal RNA". It matches the Rfam family "Bacterial small subunit ribosomal RNA", at positions 28 to 507 of the family's 1533-position model. The record is from RNAcentral.
GACGAACGCUGGCGGCGUGCUUAACACAUGCAAGUCGAACGGAAAGGCCCUGCUUUUGUGGGGUGCUCGAGUGGCGAACGGGUGAGUAACACGUGAGUAACCUGCCCUUGACUUUGGGAUAACUUCAGGAAACUGGGGCUAAUACCGGAUAGGAGCUCCUGCUGCAUGGUGGGGGUUGGAAAGUUUCGGCGGUUGGGGAUGGACUCGCGGCUUAUCAGCUUGUUGGUGGGGUAGUGGCUUACCAAGGCUUUGACGGGUAGCCGGCCUGAGAGGGUGACCGGCCACAUGGGGACUGAGAGACGGCCCAGACUCCUACGUGAGGCAGCAGUGGGGAAUAUGGCACAAUGGGCGAAAGCCUGAUGCGGCAGCGCCGCGUGCGGGAUGACGGCCUUCGGGUUGUAAACCGCUGUCGCCUGUGACGAAGCGGGAGUGACGGUAAUGGGUAAAGAAGCACCGGCUAACUACGUG